GCAUCCUUCGCCCAGCUGCAUGCGCGAUAUGGACUAGAGGUGCAGGCCCUUAGGGACCAGUGGCGCGGAGGCCAGGCUGGCCUAGCCAGCUUAGAGGUCCCCUGGCAUCCUGGUUCUGCUGAGACUCAGACCCAGGACCAGCCAGCCCUAAGGGGACAUAGUGGGUGUAAGGUAUUACAUGUAUUCCGUUCCGUAGAAUGGCCUGUUUGCAAUCCAGGCUCCCAGGGGACAUAGGACAUAUGACUCAGGAGACCUGUGCCCCUGGGGUCAGAGGCACUUACUUCUGAGAAGAAUCUGGAACGUGAACCUGAGGGUGCUUCUAGAGCCCAAGGAGCUGGUUUCUAGAGAACUCCGCGCCAGGGUGGCCUGUGUGACCUUGACAGCCCCGAAGCUGGCCACAGGCCCAUGGGGCCCAGGGUUUACCUGGUGCCUCUCAAGGAUCUAAAGCUUGAACCUGGAAGCUGCUGUCUGGGCUGCUGUGGGCCUACACCAGUAGGUGGAAUGUGGGACUUGAACUGGAUAGGUCCCCCAGGCUCCUGGCCUGGAACCAGCUAAGUCAGGACUGUGUCCAGCUUUGUAGGUGAGCCCGGGCAGAAGCAGGGCCUCCCCUGACCUCGGUCCUGGCCUGGGACCCAGCUUCCUCCCAGUUUCACCUGGAGGAGACAGGCCUCCGACUGAUUCCAUGCCUGCAGCAGGGAGAGCCCAGGCACUGUCCCUAGCCACUGCAGGUGACCAGUGGGCCUCAGGACUGGGCCUACUUCUCUCUCACCACAGUGCUGGCUGUCUUCCAGAGGGUUGGGCAGGACAGCCGGCCCCACCUGGGUUCUUGUUUACAGUCCUCCUCAGUGCCCUGCCCUGAGGGGACACUCCAAUCGCUGCAUCCUAUGAACAGAUUUCACCCUGGCCCCUCCCUCUCCUCUGGGGGGUGGGGUGGCUGGGUCCCAUGGGUGCUUCUGUCUGUCGCCAGGGCCUCUUGGCUCUCUGCUGGCUCAGGGGCCAGGGCACUUGGCUGUGGGUUUUUCUUUGAAGUACAGAGGCUACUGUCUUCCACCAGUGAAGUUAAGUAGUCCAGUCUCACCCCUGCCACUUUUGUUACUGUUGGCUGCAAGGGGUGGCAUUGUCUCCAGGGAGCCAGGCCCUCGCAGGAGACACACGGGCGCCUAGCUGACUUGGCCCUGACUUGGCCCUCUGUCUCCUGAGCUCAGCUGUCUGCACAGGUGGUGCCUCUGGGGACUUGGUCUGUCUCCUCAACUCUCCCACUGGAGUCAUACGGCUGAGGUGUAGACUCUAGUCUGGGACGGGCUUACAAACUCUAAAGGUACGGGGCAGGAGGUGGGGGAGACAAGGGCAGAGUUGUUCCCUCUCCCCAAAGCACAAGGUGAACACCAGCUGAUUCUGGGGCUAGGAGAGUUAUCAAUCAUGGACAGGGUAUGAGGGCCAAAAUAAAAGCCGGUCGAG
RNAcentral lists this long non-coding RNA (1458 nucleotides) under Mus musculus (house mouse). RNAcentral describes it as "long non-coding RNA chr5:121853143-121854601". Lineage: Eukaryota; Metazoa; Chordata; Mammalia; Rodentia; Muridae. The record is from RNAcentral.